AGAACGCACACACUACCUUUCAGGCUUUGUUCAAGCAAGCCGCGAGGUUCUUGCUAUUUUCUCCAAAAACAUAGGGAUGGAAGAAAGAACACGCACGCGCCAAACAACGCCCGCGUGUACUAGAAAUAACAAGAGAUAACCGCUCCCUCCCCCACGGCGCGUACGUUGUACCUCCUGCUAGACGAUUGGUGAGGAAGAAGGGCUUCGUGAGGGAGAUUCGACUGUUGACCGGAGCUGACGGGAUUUGAAGGAGGGGGAACGAUUGCUUGGUGCAUAUCGUAUUUCCUGUGUAUCACAAUUGGCACUGAACAGGGACCUGAGAACCUUUCGUCUGGUGAGCAAAUAAAUCUAAAAAAGCGCACAAAACACUGUUUUGGUGUAAGGUUUGUUUUCUUGCCGGACGGGAGCAGCUUUUCUAAAAGCCCUGAGACGGAGACUUGGACGUUGAGACAGGAGACAAGAGGAACGUUCCGGGGGACUGCACUGGGAGUGAGUGAGUAUUCUUUCCUCUCUCUUGGGUUAUUAUUAGGUGUGCUUAGUGUGUGUGGUUUGUGUGUGAAAGUGACAGUAUGGGGCUUUCUUGGAGUAAACGUGGUAAUAAUACUAACAAUAAAAUACCCUCCAUCUCUCCGAUAUCACCUUUAGGGGAGUUGUUAACUCAGUGGACAGAGGACUGGUUGAAGGUUUAUACCAAACAGUUGGAUAAAGUAGCUAUGAUUAAUUAUUGUACUAGGGUGUGGCCGAAAUUUAUUUUGAUAAAGCCUAAUUAUAGGUGGAGUAAGUUUGGGGAGUCUGACCCGUAUUGGAUUAAUGCCUUGAAGAAGGUUUUGGAAAGCAAAAAACUUAUUUCUCAGUUGCCAUAUGUUGAACCUCAGUUCCAUGUUCAGUAGUUUGACCCUCUUCCCCAGAGAAGUUCUAGAGUUUUGUAUGGGAAGGAGAAGAGGAAGGCUAGGAUCCUUUAGUUUAUGCUACAUGCCCACCUCCCCCUCCUUCGUAUAAUCCAGGUUGUGGGUGGAAUGUUGUUGCUGGGAGCAGAAAGGAAGAGACUUCGGCAGGGCAGUAAUAUAGGCAGCCGGAGAAGGAGUUGGAUGAAUUGUCAGUAACUGUGAAACAGAAUCCAUCCACUUCUCCUCGUGUUACAUGUUCACAAACUAAAGGAAUGUUUCCUUUAAGAGGAAUGCUGAAUAGUAUUGCGGCUUUUGUGAAUGUGUCUUUGACAUCUUCUGAUCUGGAAGAUUAUGAAGGCAACAUGCCGUCUUUAUAGGCGGAUCUGAUCAAGUUGUCUGAGUCAUUGGAUUUUUGUUCUCCCUUGAGGAGAGGUCACAAAUUCGAAAGGCAGCUAUGGCUUUUUCGGGAUAAAAUCCAAGUGGGGGCUGCUCAGCCCGUUGCUGCCGAUGUUAAGUCUCCAUUUGAUCCUAAAUUAGCUAAAUUAGUUAAUUUGGCUGACCGGGGGCAAAUGGAGGACCUGAAGAGAAUUAUAAUUCAGGGAGUUAAGACAGCUGUACCUCAAGGAAGAAACUUUAACAAAAGUCUUGGAGGUGGAACAGUUGUGGGAAGAAACACCGUCUGUGUUUCUGGAAUAUAUUAAGGACAAUUUGAAUAAGCACACUGGUCUUUCUCCUGAAAUGCCGGCUUAUGAGUCCUUAAUGAAAAUGAAAUUUGUGACAAAAUCAUGGCCAGGCAUACAGAAGCUUGAGAAUUGGGCUACUACUGAUAUUGCUGCUCUGUUGAAAGAAGCUCAAAAGGUCUAUGUGAAUAGGGACAAGGCCAAGACUAGGAGAAAAAGAAAGAAAGAAAAGUCGAAUGAUGGUGUCUGUGUUGAAACAGACAGGAGAGGGAAAGGAGUUAGGUGGAAGAGGAAAAGGCUUUGUGAAACAUCUGUUGCAAUGUGGCGACAGUGUUCUGGAAUCGGGAGAGUAUUACUCCUAGUGUUGGUGGAUUGGAAAGCAAGAAGUGCUUUGUGUGUGUAAAGGAGAGGCAUUUUGCUAGAGCUUGUCCUGAGAAGAGGAUGAUUAGUGGGUCCAGAAGAGGAGGAUCAUGUGUUUCUAAUAGAUACGGGUGUGACUAGAACCUCUAUUUGUAAAUUGCCUAGAGGAGUGCAUCCCACAGGUGUAACUAUUAAGAUAAGAGGUGUCAAGGGUAUACCUUUUGAUGUGCCAUUGUUGAAGAAUGUGAAAUUGAGUUGUGGAAAGUGUAUUAUACAUUUGGAUGUGAUAUUUGUUCCAGAAGCAGGUAUUAAUCUGUUUGGGAGGGAUGCAUUGUCUCUUCUGGGAUGUGAGCUUGGUAUACAGAUCUUUCUCGUUCUUGGAUGAGGCAGAAAACUCUAUAGGAAUGUAGUAAGGAAGGUUUAUUGUUCUUCCUACCUGAGGUUGAAUGUGAAUAUUUUGUCUUUGAUUAAUGUGAUGUGAUAGAGAUAUAUGUGUGCCGGCUAAUUAAGUGACCUUCUUGGCUUGAGCUUGGAGCUGUGGAAAACGGAUGAUGGUUAGGGCCCGAAUUCAAGUUUUUGAUUAAAAAACCGCAUCCUGAAGUUUUCCACUGCUUGAGGAGUAGGCUACAAGAUGUCAAGGAUGAAAAUGAAAUGGGUAUCUGAAGGGAUGGAACAUUCCCAGGUUUUAUUCCAGGUUUGCAAAUGUUGUUAAAUGGUAUGUGUGUGUUGGAAUACACUAAAAGGUCUGAUUGCAGAAUAAAUAUGAGUGUGUGUGGUAAGCCCUCACAUGGGGGGGUGGUACGGUGAUCCUGAUAUUUGUAAAUGCCUGUGCGUUGAAUCCCUGAGAGGUCUCCUUUUGUAUAAUGAAAUAGUGAGUGGCAAGAGUUUGUUGUUGUAGUUGUUGUUAUGUUGUAAUAGCAAGUGUUUGAAUGAGCAAGUGAGAGAUGAGAGAGAUCCUAUGGAGAAGUAGGAUUAGGAAGAGGUAUUUACGAUGUUAAAUGGAGACAGGAGUAGUAUUUUUCCUCCCUAUAUUUCCCCUGUUUUUUUUGUUCUGAACAAGAAAAGUAGGAAAGGGGGGGGAGGUGCGGUUUGUUUUCCCUUUUACACAUUUUUUUUCCUUUGCUGAGUUUGUCUGAGAGAAAGGAGGGGCGAAUGGGUGAUUUGAUCCUGCAUUGUUUCUGACUGCAUUGGCAGCUAUGCAGAUGUAUUUCCUGUCCUGCUCUGAGUUUUGAUUUUAUUUUUGUUUGUGAAAUGUUUGAGGUGUUUAAAUAAAUCUAUAUAAUAGAGAAGUGACAUUGAAAGUUUAAAAUAAUUAUUUUUGGGAGUAGAGAGCCGGAGUACCUCUAUUAGCCGGAGUACCUCUAUUAGGUGAUUUUCUUUUGCUUUUUGAAGUUUUUUAUUACCCACUUUUAUAUUUUUAUGUCUGUGCAUUUUGAAUGAUUUUGAAUGUUGAGAAGGAGAUUUCUAGGAUAGCCUCGAUACUGGAUAGCCUGGGGAAUAGUUGACUAUGUUAUUUUAGCUUAGUGUUGUCCAGAUAAGGGAUGUUCCCUUGAGGGAAGAAUUACUUACUGGUAGAAAGUAAAGAUGGACUUUUGGUCUGGUUAGCUAGGAAGUUACCUGUAAGUUAGUCUGUAUAGACUUGUGGUUUAGACUUGUGAAUUUAGAUUAAGCUUUGCAUUUCUUUGAAGCUUAUGGAAAUAGUUUAGCUAAUUUGUGAUAGAGGUGUGGUGUGAUUCCUCCGAAGUGGGGAGAGUUGAGUAUUUAUUGAUACUUUAUUGAUUUAUUGAUAGUUAAUUCCAAACUAAGUUGUUUGGAAGAAAGGUUUGAAGAGUUGAAGAAAGUAAUAAAAUUGUCUCAAGAGAAUUUGGUUCUCUUGACCAAUAGGAAUUUAAAUUUAGUUGAAUUCCUGUCAGGAGAGAGAGAUGGGAUGAUGUGAAAUGAAAUUGUGUGGUUAUGAAUAAAUAGGUUGAGAAUGGGAUGAGGCUGAAUGGUUAUGUAGUUGUGAAUGGAGACACUACUACGAUAUUGCAAGCUGGAAAGUUACCGUCUGAAUGGUCAGAGCAGACAUGUGAGGUUUUUUCUUUAUUGUAAGCAUUGCGCAUAUUAACUAAUGAGGUAGGGAAUAUUCAUGUUGAUUCAAAAUAUGCUUAUGGUAUCAUACAUACUUUUGGGAUAAUCUGGAUUGAAAGGGGGUUGAUAUUUAGUAAUAGGAAGGAAUUGCAGCAGGUGGAUUUUAUCACAGCUGUUUUAAAGGCAGCUGAUAGGUUCUUCUAAACUUGCUAUUAUACAAAUAGUGGAUGAAGGGAUGUGUAAGUGAAUGGGAAAUGGAUGACUAAAGGAAGGGUGCAAAUUUUUACUAAAGCUGUGAGUGCAUGAGGGAACCUAUUGGGGAAUGCAAGCACUUAUUGAUUUUAUUAAACAUAUAUGCAUAUAUGUGUGUAGGAGUGUGUAUACAAUAGUUAUACAAAUGGUACGGAAAUGAAUACAUUGUGUAUGUGCAUAACAUGUAGAGAUUGACCAUUUGGCCUUUUCAAUGAAUCCAAGUAGAUUACAUUGAAAUGCCGGUGGUGUGACCAUUGAUAUAUGUAAUAAUAAUAGUGGAUUAAUUUACUGGAUAGUUUGAAGCCUUUCUUUGUGUAAAGACAGGUGCUCAGAUGAUUGUUAAAUCAUAUUGGAGCGAAUAAUACCCAAAUAUGCAUUGGUUGAUCUUAUUGAUAGUGAUAGCGGUACACAUUUCAUUGUCCAGGUGAUAGAGGUUAUAGAACAAUUAGGAAUUGAUUGGCAACUACAUUUAUUGUUCACGCCAAGUUCUACAGGGCGUUGUGAAUGUGCUAAUCAGACAAGUAAAUUUAUGUUACAAAGAUUAAUGUUAGAGCUUCAACUACCUUGGACGAAGUGUUUGCCUUUAGCUAUAUUAAGAAUAAGAACUAGUCCUAGGAAAGUUCUGGGGAUAUUUACGUAUGAAAUGAUGUUUGGAUUGCUGUAUGCGGGGAAAGUUGAGAUGCUUAGGAUAGAAUUGAAAGAUGUUUUUUUCUGAAAAAAUAUAUACAGGGACUGUCCCAGUGUUUUUCUCAUUUAAGGUAAAAAGGACAGACUCCACCUCUUGAUUUCCAAAUCCAUGAAUACAAAAGCGGAGACUGGGUCCUGAUCAAAGCACUUAAGGAGAAAAAGUUGCAGCCGGUGUGGGAAGGACCGUCCCAAGUUCUGCUAACUACAGGGUCGGCUGUAAGGACUAAGGAACAAGGCUGGGUAUGCUAUUCUAGAGUGAAAGGACCGGAUGGACGGUUGCUGCGAAAUCUACAGAUCCUCUUAAAUUGACCUUUCGUCGACAACCCUUAGACGAUUGAUGACCAACGGAUGGAAGAAGAGUUUUGUGAAGAAUUUUGUAUUUGGCUAGGAGUGAUAUUAAUUUUUGUUGUAUUUUUGAUUAUAUUAAGAAAAGAUAUAAUUGACUGGUGUAAAUCUAUGCUUUGGUAUCCAGUGGAUGUAGGUUCACUUUGACAGUCUGAUACUUUGGUGGUAAGAUAAUAAUAUUUUAUCUUUUUGGAAGCUAUAUUGGAGAGGGGAAUUAGUCCACUAGGAAGAUGGGGUAUAUGGUGUUUCUGUUUAUUCUAUUGAAGGUGCAGAUAGGGAUGGAAAAAGAGAUGUUGGAUGUGUUACAAGAUUAUCCAAUAACAUGGCAGCAGUUAUGUUUCCAUACUGAACUCGAGCACCGAUAUUCUUUAAUAGAGACACUGACCUUGAUAGAGGGUGCUGAAGAAGCUGAUAUAUGUAUAAAAUCAUCUUUUGUAGAUGGUAUACCAUUGGGCAGAUAUGCCAGAUGUAAUAAUAGAUAUGACAUAACCCCUAAAUACACUGAUUUAUUAGAUAGAAUGGAGUUUUUAUAUAAUCAAUGUACUGAUUUAUAUGGUAAUCAUACUCCUUCAUAUAAAAUAUUCCGUAUUUUGGAGGAAGGAUUACGCUUUCCAUAUUUUGAAAUAAAAGCCCCUUUGAAGUUAAUGUUUCUAUGUGGAAAUUUGGCUUUGCCUAAAUUGCCUUAUUUCUGGAAGGGAAGAUGUGCUGUUGGUUAUCUUAAGGCACCUUUAUGAUAUACCAGAAGUAUUGCUGAACGGAGAACGAGAGAAGGCAAUAUAUUUCUGGAUUUAAUGAAGGUAGCUUUAAACAGUACUUCCUUUUGUAUCAGGGGUGAGACAACUGUCUCUGAUAUAAUGGCUACAUGUUUUGUGGGGGUGCCAGUACCGGGAAAGUUUUUAUUUGAAGAAGCAAAUAUCAUAAUAGAACCAAAUAAUUUCAAUUUGUCACAUGUUAUAAUAUUAUUUGGGAGUCCAAAAUACAGCUUUUAGAGAAGUUUGGGAUAUAUUAACCUCAUGGUUACCUAACUUUGCAUGGUUAAGGGAAUUGUUUGUAGGCAUAUUAUUGAUUAUAGUUAUAUGUCUUAUUUCUUGUCUUUGUAUUAAAUGCAUACCUAUUUGCUGUGAUUUUUGGAAGUGUUGCUGUCGAAUAAAGAAGAAAAAUUGGCUGGAGAUUCGCAUGGUGGCUUAGGGAGAAGAGAAGUUUCUAUAAUGUUACAAGAUAUACAUAAUUUACAGGAAUAAAAAGUAAUGAAGAGGAGAAGUGGGGAUUGUGAGAAAUAAAGAAAUUAGGAUUAUUCCUGUAAAAAAGUAUAGCCUAAGUUACGCCAUUUUGAAAUCAUGUCAAGGCUUUAUUUUACUCUGUAUAACCUGAUUAUAUAAUUUAGCUGACAUUUAAGAACAUGAGAAAGGAACUGUGUAAUUCCUGUGUUCUUGAGAAUGUGUUUCUCUGGCAGGAAAUAGGCUUUCAGGUCAUUUUGCCCUCAUUAAGAAGGGGAAGUACGCAUAUGCUGAUAUUAUAUAUUACACGUAUAAGCAAUAUUUUUAAGUAGGGUAUUUUUAUAUACUGGACUUGUGGGGACUUUCCACAAGGGGAAAACAUGUGUUUACUUGUUAUAUAAAGUCUGAAAUUGUACUCAAGGGACAUGCUUGUAUCCUGGUUUGUAUCCUGUACGAUGUAACCUAAAAUUGUAUAAAAGACGGUCAGAGAGAUAUGUAAAUUGCUCUCUCACUUUGAGAGGGACCUUUGCAAAGAAAUAAAUUUUUCCUUGUCUCA
Molecule: non-coding RNA, 7054 nt
Organism: Pantherophis guttatus
Lineage: Eukaryota; Metazoa; Chordata; Lepidosauria; Squamata; Colubridae
Source: RefSeq, a predicted model, not a curated record